UACGGAGGGUGCGAGCGUUGUCCGGAAUCAUUGGGCGUAAAGGGCGCGUAGGCGGCGGGACAAGCGUGCGGUGAAAGCCUGGGGCUCAACCCCGGGUCGGCCGUGCGAACUGUUUUGCUUGAGCACUGUAGAGGCAGGCGGAAUUCCGGGUGUAGCGGUGGAAUGCGUAGAGAUUCGGAAGAACACCGGUGGCGAAGGCGGCCUGCUGGGCAGUAGCUGACACUGAGGCGCGACAGCGUGGGGAGCAAACAGG
This 253-nucleotide ribosomal RNA is filed under the name uncultured bacterium. RNAcentral's name for it is "partial 16S ribosomal RNA". It matches the Rfam family "Bacterial small subunit ribosomal RNA", at positions 524 to 776 of the family's 1533-position model. The record is from RNAcentral.